Molecule: transfer RNA, 68 nt
Filed under: Neodontobutis hainanensis
Lineage: Eukaryota; Metazoa; Chordata; Actinopteri; Gobiiformes; Odontobutidae
Description: tRNA-Ser
Source: RNAcentral
GAGAGAGGCCUGCCGGCAACGAAGACUGCUAACCCUCGUACCCUUGGUUGAAAUCCAAAGCUCACUCG